AUUGCCACUGUGUAUGAAAUGUGCUAUAUAAAUAAACUUGCCUUGCCUUCGCUAAUCCUCAUCUAUAGUGUUCUUCAGAAAAUCACAGAGGUUUUGAACAAAGUAACUAGCAGAAUCUUAAUCAUUCAUUAUGUUGAACGUUGAACGGCCUCAUGGGUAAUUUGAGUGUCAUUCUACUGCACUGACUGCUGUUGAUCUGCUGGUCUUUUCUUCCUGAAGUUCGGCAGCACUGAAACAUCCUUCAGACUCCAGCGGUGGCUUUCAGGGGAAUCGAUAACCUGUCACUUCCAACAGAACCGAGAGGAUUGACUGGCCGCCACACACAAUAAGAGGAAAAACAGAGCCCAUUUUUCUUGUUCAAGCCAACACGAUGUUAUACUGGAGAGAUCUUCACGAGACCUGAGAGGAUUCAUCAGUGAGUCACUGAGUCUUCAGUCUGGAUGAAGAGCUCAUGCAUUAUUAAUAACCUCCUCUAUGAUGCGUCUAUGAACAAAGGCUCUCUGGAACAGUGACACACACACACACGCUCUUGAAAACCAUCGGCAAACAUGGAAAAUAUUCCAGAAGAUGAUAAGAA
Pimephales promelas (fathead minnow) is the source of this 577-nucleotide non-coding RNA. The record is from RefSeq and is a predicted model, not a curated record. NCBI's taxonomy places the organism in Eukaryota, Metazoa, Chordata, Actinopteri, Cypriniformes, Leuciscidae.